Molecule: non-coding RNA, 84 nt
Organism: Calypte anna (Anna's hummingbird)
Lineage: Eukaryota; Metazoa; Chordata; Aves; Apodiformes; Trochilidae
Source: Rfam
UCUGUGAUGUCUCAAUAGGUCCUGCUUACCCUUCACUGUGCUCAGUAGAAUAGAAGGGAGGUGAAGAAACCUGUGGCUGAGAGA